AUUACUGAGACAGGGUUAAUAUCAUUACUGAGACAGGGUUAAUAUCAUUACUGAGACAGGGUUACUAUCAUUACUGAGACAGGGUUACUGAGACAGGGUUACUGAGACAGGGUUAACAUCAUUACUGAGACAGGGUUACUGAGACAGGGUUACUGAGACAGGGUUACUAUCAUUACUGAGACAGGGUUACUGAGACAGGGUUACUAUCAUUACUGAGACAGGGUUACUGAGACAGGGUUAAUAUCAUUACUGAGACAGGGUUACUGAGACAGGGUUACUAUCAUUACUGAGACAGGGUUACUGAGACAGGGUUAAUAUCAUUACUGAGACAGGGUUACUAUCAUUACUGAGACAGGGUUAAUAUCAUUACUGAGACAGGGUUAAUAUCAUUACUGAGACAGGGUUACUAUCAUUACUGAGACAGGGUUACUGAGACAGGGUUACUAUCAUUACUGAGACAGGGUUACUGAGACAGGGUUAAUAUCAUUACUGAGACAGGGUUACUGAGACAGGGUUAAUAUCAUUACUGAGACAGGGUUACUGAGACAGGGUUAAUAUCAUUACUGAGACAGGGUUACUGAGACAGGGUUACUAUCAUUACUGAGACAGGGUUACUGAGACAGGGUUACUGAGACAGGGUUACUAUCAUUACUGAGACAGGGUUACUGAGACAGGGUUACUCAGACAGGGUUAAUAUCAUUACUGAGACAGGGUUACUGAGACAGGGUUACUAUUAUUACUGAGACAGGGUUACUGAGACAGGGUUAAUAUCAUUACUGAGACAGGGUUACUAUCAUUACUGAGACAGGGUUACUGAGACAGGGUUACUGAGACAGGGUUAAUAUCAUUACUGAGACAGGGUUACUGAGACAGGGUUAAUAUCAUUACUGAGACAGGGUUACUGAGACAGGGUUAACAUCAUUACUGAGACAGGGUUACUGAGACAUGGUUAAUAUCAUUUCUGAGACAGGGUUACUGCGACAGGGUUAAUAUCAUUACUGAGACAGGGUUACUGAGACAGGGUUACUGAGACAGGGUUACUGAGACAGGGUUACUAUCAUUACUGAGACAGGGUUACUGAGACAGGGUUACUGAGACAGGGUUAAUAUCAUUACUGAGACAGGGUUACUGAGACAGAGUUACUAUCAUUACUGAGACAGGGUUACUAAGGAGACAGGGUUACUGAGGAGACAGGGUUACUAAGGAGACAGGGUUACUAAGGAGACAGGGUUACUAAGGAGACAGGGUUACUAAGGAGACAGGGUUACUGAGGAGACAGGGUUACUAAGGAGACAGGGUUACUAAGGAGACAGGGUUACUAAGGAGACAGGGUUACUAAGGAGACAGGGUUACUAAGGAGACAGGGUUACUGAGGAGACAGGGUUACUGAGGAGACAGGGUUACUAAGGAGACAGGGUUACUAAGGAGACAGGGUUACUAAGGAGACAGGGUUACUGAGGAGACAGGGUUACUAAGGAGACAGGGUUACUAAGGAGACAGGGUUACUAAGGAGACAGGGUUACUAAGGAGACAGGGUUACUAAGGAGACAGGGUUACUAAGGAGACAGGGUUACUAAGGAGACAGGGUUAACAGCUCCUGUCUAGGUUCAUCUUGGAACGUUUAGGAAAGUUUGGAUUGUUUUAAAAAAGGUUUUUAUGGUUGGACCCUGUUAAUGUGGUAUGUUAAUAUUAUGACAAGAGAAGAGAAGGACAGUUCUAUAUAACUCUACUAUAACCCUGGUGUGAACCUGUUACACACACACACACACACACACUCAUAAACUCUCUCACACACACACACACACACACACACACACACACACACACACACACACAUACACACACACACACACACACACACACAUAAACUCUCUCACACACACACACACACACACACACACACACACACACACACACACACACACACACACAUACACACACACACACACUCAUAAACUCUCACACACACGUAAACAAGCCUUCCAGGUUGCCAUCUAGCCUGUGUGAUUUUAUACAGUUGGAUCUAACAGGAACCAUUUUCUGGUCUGAG
This is a long non-coding RNA of Oncorhynchus tshawytscha (Chinook salmon), 2050 nucleotides long. The record is from Ensembl. NCBI's taxonomy places the organism in Eukaryota, Metazoa, Chordata, Actinopteri, Salmoniformes, Salmonidae.